GCACCAUUCAAGUGGGGUUGCUUAUCGGCCAUGCUUUAGGAUUGGUGAUAUAAUAGGAGACUUGGUAUAAAGAAGGUGGUGAAUAUAAUUGUGAGAAUAUGGGAGAAGGGUGUGGUUCCCAUAUAUAGAAAGGAAGCUUUGAAGAUUCUAUGGGAACAACGCGUUUGUGAGUACGUGUCCCUCUUCUGCAUUUGCCUAUUCAGUUUCGUUUAAGGAAUGGAAUCGAACCACAGCGGAUUGUAUUGACCGGUAGUUUGAUGUAGAUUGACAACAACUCACGAAGAAACAUUCGUACGGAAGAAAGUUCCCAGAAUCUCUUUUUUAAUUGUAGCCCCAUAUAAUUAGUUAAUGAUUUAUCCAAACCUACGACACUUGAUCUUAUCACUGUGUGGGCCUAACCAAUUUAUAUAGACUUGAAAUCAAAUACACUAACCCUUAGAACUUAAUAACAAUAAUAACAACAGGCCUUGGUCAUCUUCAAAUUCCACUGCAUCUUCAGUGGACAACAUUGUCAGGUCCACAAGGUAAGAUUUGUUAGUGCACACCUAUGUAGAAUUAUCAUUAUAUAUUUUAUCAAUCAGUUUUUUUUAUAUAAAAAAUAUCUUAUUUUCCUUUUUCAUUAAUGCAAACACAUUGUGAAUAUAAGUGAACUUCUAGUAUUGUGGCCUUUUCGAUCCACCAUAGCUCACUGUUUUCUUUCAACUUCUAUUUUGGAAAUUAUCCCAUCUAUCCCUUGUAGUUGCGUCCUUUUCUUUUUGAUUGUUUUUUUUAUCCGUGAAAGAAAUGAUUCCCCUUGGCAGGCUUGUUUGGCAAUUACAAGAUCAAAUGAUGUUACUAUUUAUAUAACAGUAUAUUUGGAUGGAGUAUUUAAAAUAGGAAAAAUAAUUUUUUAGAAGACUUAAAAUUUCUAAGUUUAAAAUUGUCUAUUUGGAUAUUUACGGAUUGAAAUUUCAAAUUUUAAUAUUUUAAUAAAUAAUUUUUAAUUAACUAAAAUUUUGGAAUUUUAAAUUUUGUUUAUAGAGAGGGAAUUCUGAAAUUUGAAAUGUCGUCGACAAGACCAGAUUAGAGUCCACGUAUAUAACCCUCUCGAUGCAAGGUUCGAGAAGGUCAGCGAGGUACUUUCUAGCGUAGUUGAGGGAUUGUUCGAGGGCUUGUCUGACGGAGGUGGAGAUCAGGUUGCGAACGAUCUCUGGAUCGAAGUAAUAGACCUUGAUGUUCAAUUGUGGGAAGGUGGAUUUGACGAGGGAUUUGAGGUUGGUUUCGAAGACUAGGAAGUGGAAGAAGAUGUUCUCCGGGCACUGGGAGUGUUGGAGGAUUGAGUGGACGGCGACGAUGGAGCCACGAAGGUACUCCACGUCGAGGGUGAUGGCCAUGUGGACAAGGGAGGGGUCACAGACGGAGGUGAAAACGAAGGAGGCGCAUUUACCGUUGGCGGCAUUGCGGAAUGGAGCAGUGGGGCAGAGGGAGGCAGAGGAGGCUGUCGAGAUGGUGGGAGGAGCGGAUGUUGGUGCCAUGGGGACGAAGCCAGAGAGGAGAGAGAAGACGACAGAGAGGAAUCCAUGCUAAGGUGUGCACCGUCUCCUCUUCUCUUCUUCCUUUGCUACCUCCCUCUCCUCUUCCACCAAAUGUUUUCUUUCUCUCUGUGCUAAUUUUAAUAAUAUUGAAAUUCGUAACAAAGGAGUAAACACAUUGCAACAGUAGCAGGACACAGAGAGAGACACUCUCACGCACUCAGAGUAGAUUUGUACCGAACACAUAAUUUUAAAAAUGAAAAAAAUUAAUUUAUUUAUCCAAACAUAAAAUUUAAAAAAUAAAGGAAUUUUAAUUGAAUUAUUUAAAACUCUUAAAAUUAAUUUUGUUUUAAAUUUUAAAUUACCUCAUUCAAACACAAUCUAAGAAAAAAGAGUAAAUUAUUAUUGUUAUAGACCAAAGUGCUUGUUUGAUUUGACUCUGCUGACUGCAGGAAUAGUAUUGCCAUCAUCGAUAUAUAUGUGGAAUUUUGACACGAAUUCCAUUUACAUCUUUGGAGCAAAUAAAAAAGAACAUGUAUGACAAGGAGCCUGUUUAUAUAAGUCAGAAAUGAGUGCAUCUUUGGCGCAAACCAAAAAGAACAUCUAUGGCAAGGAGCUUGUGACAAAAAUUGUUGAUCCAUCGAUUUCAUCUCAUUUUUUGAUAUCACAGAAAAUUACAAAUAAAUGUGAUUGAUAGUAAUUAUAAUUGUUGUCAUAAAUACAAAUACUUGAAAAAUCUUGACAUUGUUGCCCAGAACACGGUCGAUCGGUCGCAGAAGAGGGCAUGAUUCUACACGUAAUUGCAAAUAUUUUGUUAUUUUCCUUCUUUCUUUUAUUUUAUUUGUAAACAAAAUUUAUUUAAGAAACUCUCAAUCUUUAUUCAAAACCUUUAACAGUAACAAUUUCAAAGCAUAAGCUUUGCGACAACAAUUCCCAAGGAAAAAAUAUAAUUGAUUGCAUUAAAUCGAGAAUAAUUCUAGAUGAGUGCAAGCGCAAUCUUGGGUAAGAUUCCGAAGAUGUAGCGAAAAUAGCUUCUGCUGUAGUAGCGGUAUAGGUAGCGUGGUUUCUCUGGAGGAUGGUAAUAGGCACCGUUCAAAAGGAGUUUCUGAUCGACCAUGCUUGCAGAUAAGUGAAUAAUGAAAUGGAGAUAUGUAAUUUGAUGUGAGCAAGAAAUUUAUGAAGGGGAUGAUGAAGAUAAUUAAUUAGUUGUGAAUGGUAAUAGAGGAUAUGAGAGCGUGUCUUGUGUCUAUCUACAAAUAUAGACUUUAGAUCAGAAAGGAAAGGCAUUGAAGAUUCUAUGGGGGCCACAACCCGGUCGUGACUCGUCAGUACGUUUCCGCGUUGGCCAUUUUGCCUAAUUCAAUUUCUUCUUAUCAAAGGAAUCAACUAAUAAACAUCGGAUUGUGUGUUUUACAUAUAUGGGUACAUUUGUUAUAUAUAUAUAUAUAUUUUACAGGAACAUGUGUUAUGUAUUUAUUAAGCAUGUAUAAGAAUUAUUUUAUAAAAUAUAUUUCCAUAUAGAAAAAAAUAAGUGUAUAUUAACACACUAUAUAUAAUUAAUUAACUGAAUAAAUAUAAAUAAUUUAUUUCUUAAUUUUAUCCUUAGUUAUUAUUUUAAAUAAAUCAUUAUGAAUCAUUUUAAAUUUUAAAAUAUUUUUAGUUAUUAUUGUUCAUAAAAAAAUUUAAAUUAACCACAUUAAAAUGAAUGUUGAUGUAAAUUUUUAGUUAUUAAAAACUUGUUCAUAUGUUAUAAUUGUUAUCCAUUAAUUAGUCCAAUCAUUUUUCACUUAUUUUAUUUUUACGUUAUGCACAUAUGGCAACUUGAAUUUUUUUACUAUGAAUAAUAUAAUAAAUACUUAAAACUAUGGAUGUUACGUAAUUUAAUAAGAUAUCUUAUAUAUUAAUAAACUAAUUAAGUUACUAUUUUAUAUAUAAGGAAUAAAAUAGAUUGAAAAUUUUUAUCUACAAAUCCUGCACGUACGAUUUAAAAAUACAAUGAAUAGAUGAAAUGUUAUUUAUAAUUUUAAACUAAAUUGAAAAAAAAAUUGUGACAUACUUUUUUAUUGUUUAAUUGUGUUAAUAUGCGUGUUUUAAUUCUAUCUCUUUUAUUUCUUACUUAUCUUUAUUUACAACAUGUAUUGUAUCAUUACUUCUUUUAAUAACUAGAAUGAUUCAUAUAUAUCUAAAUAUUAUUAGAUUUUUUGAAGAAAGCAUGUCUUAAAUAAACAUAUGCGCACUUAGCUUAAUUUAUUAAUAAAAAUAUUAUUUUUCAAAAAUUUAAGUUGAAAUAUACAUGAGUUCUCCUCUAGACCCUGUAUUUUAAAAGCAUAUUUUCUAAGAAUGUUUCAUCACAGUAGAAGAUUUGGAUAGUAAGUCCAAAGUUACAUAUUUUAACAUGUGUUUAAUAUUUAUAAUGAUGAAAAAUAAUUUUACGAUAUUAUUAUGAAUUAUUUUGAAAAUCAAUAAAUUUAUGAUGAAUUGUAAUUGGAUAAUAAAGUAAUUUUUUUUUACCAUAUCAAUGCAUAACAUUUUUUCUCUUUUAAAAUUCUUUUAUUUUUCACACAUACAAAAUUAUUCUGCCUAGAUCCUGUAUUGUUACAUCAUCGAAAAGCUGGAGUGGAUCUAAAAAUUUAUUGCAUGGUACUCCUUCAGAAAAUUAUUGCGGCAUAUAUAGUCAAAGAAUGAAUUAAAUAAAGACAAAAGUAACAUAAUUAUUAGAAUUUCAAAUAAUGGGUAAAGAGAGAAAGUUCAAAAAUCAAUCAAAGAAAUCAAAUGCAUCCUUAGUCCCUAGACAUUGACAUGGCACUUGGUGGUCUGAAACAGAGUAAAGGUGCCACUUUUGUUCAAGGGAACCUUGAGAUCACAUUUGACCUUGGGCUUCAAGUGACGGGAAAUCGAGUCCCCGAGCCUGAACCGAAUCCUGAAGUUGAGCUUCACAUAGAUAUCAUAAGCUCCAACACUCUUGUCUUGGUUGAACUGAGAGACUUGUUCGUUGUUGAGCAUCAACACCUUCUGCCCCGAGAAAACGGCGCUCAUGGGACUGGUGCUCUUCUUGUACUGGCGGAAGGAGUUCAUGUGAGUUAUGACAUCGUAAUUGGCGAACCUGGCAUCCUCGUAGAAUGCUAAUGCCUCAACUUUGUCGUAGUAUAUGCUGAGCUUCUUGUUGGGGUUGCGUGCAGUGAAAUUGAGGACCAUGUUGUAGUGAAGGGUGUUGUUGUUUGGAUAGUACUCAAAUUGAGUUAGGUCCGCUUCCGUGACGUGGAACUUGAAGUAGCGGGGUUGAACAACCAGCCAAAAUAUGAGGAAUACAAGACCAACGAGGACAAUGAGUGCAACCACAAUCUUCCACAAGAUUCCAAAGAGGCAGCAGCAGCCGCAGCUUCUUCCGUGGUGUUGCUUAUAAUCUGCCAUUCUUAUAGUCGCAGAUGAGUGAUGAACAAGAGAUAUUACUUUGAUGUGACUAAGAAAUUAUCAAGGGAAAUUAAAGAUGAAGAGAAUAAGUUGUGAAUCGUAAUAGCUAGGGGACUUGAUUGAUAGAGAGAAGGUGGUGAAUUAUAAGAAGGGAACCUGGUGAGUAUAUAUAUAGAAAGGAAAGGUAUGAAAUUCUAUGGUAAUGGGUACAACGCGGUUAUAACUUAUAAGCACGUGUCCGUGUUAUUUCAUUUUUUACACAUGCAAAUGUAAGGAAUCGAUCAACCGUAAAGCCACGAAGAAACAUUCGUAUGGAAGAAGUGCAUUUAAAUUUAAUUGUAUAGCCUCCUCUUAGUUGUUGGUUGCGAUGAUACUUAUCCAAAACUACGACAGCACUUGAUCUUUUCAUUAUGUGGGCAUAACCUUUCUUUUACGUAUUUGUAUUUGUAUUUAUAUUUAUAUACUCGUUGAUAUUAUUAUAUUCAUGUCAACUGUCAAGCGAACACGUAAAUUACAAGUCAACUAUAUAUUUUUACGUAUUUAUAUCCUCAAUUAUAUUUAUAUCUAUACACGCACUUGUUGUAUAUACUAUAAAAAGAAAUCUUAGUUUUGGGGGUGAUCAACAGCGGAUUGUAUUGACCCUUUUACAAUAUUUUCCUAUUAAUAUUUCUACUUUUUUAUACGGUAAAUAUUGAAUGUGUUUUAUAUACAUUCUAAAAACAUUCAAUAUAUAUAUUUACUUUUUCAAUUAACGUUUUCUUUAUAAAGUUGUGAGAAGAUUUAAAGAAAAAUAUAAUAUUAUUCUAUCAAAAAAUUGUGUCCGUGUAUUACAUUUAAGUUUCUCUUCAUUUAUACUUUCACGCAAUGACUAUAAAUUAUUGCAGCCAUGGUUUUUUCCCUAUAUUUUCGGGAUCAUAUUAUUAAUUGCAUUUGUUACCUGUUCGUAUGUGUAUUUUUAAUCUUGUUAAUGGAUGUAGUUUGACACCUCGAAAUUGGUUUACAAUUCGUAAUUAUUUUAAAUUUAAACUUAAAUAGUUUGAUUUAAAAUAAACUAUUAUCUUAUCUAUAUUUAAGUCUAUUCAAAUUUCAAAUUAAAAAAAAAACUUAGCAUAUUUAAUUACAAACUUAGCAUAUGUAAGUCUAUAUAUAUUUAAAAAAUUAUCAUUAAUUAAACAUUGACUAUUAAAAAAUUUAAUAUUAAUCUAUCACCAAAACAAAAAUAGUAUUUCACGUUGGAUAAAUAUGACAUUAAUUUUACAUUGAUUAUUUAGUUGAUGUAAUUACUGAUAAUGUAAAAAGUUUUUAUUUUUACAUUAAUUUGUAUUAGAACCAAUAGAAUAGAUAUAGUAUGCUUCAUUUCCAAUUUCCAAAAACCCAAAUCGUAAAUGUUUCGAACAAUCUUAUUCUCGUCGAGGCCCAUGCUUCUGAUCAAUUUUCUUCGACAAGAGGUCAUCCAAAGGUUGUAGUUUUGUUUUCAGUGAAGUUUAAGACUCGGGUUGAUGGAGCGGGUGGAGGAGAUGAAGGAGAGAGACAGCUCUCGUCGAAAUCUUCUUUAUUGGAUUGAAAAAGAAACAACAAAAUACACAAGAUAAACACAUCAUGAAAUAAUCUAUUGCCCGCAACGCAAACAAGGAAUUCCACUUCAAAACAAGAAACACAAACUUAGGAGGAGUGUUUUAAACACACUCUCUACUUGAUCAAAAUUUCAUGAAAAUUAUAAAAUCAAAAAGAAAAUUAUAAAAUAUGAGACGAGACCCUCAAAACUUUGUCAAUUUUAAAAAAUAUAUAUUAAAAAAAUAUGUUCUUAUCAUUUCUUAAAAAAUAAUUCACUUCAUACCUUUUUGCUUAGAAAUCCUAAUUCUCGAUCAAAUUCCCUCUUCACUUUCAUUGCCAAGCAAAAAAUCGAAAAGAGCAACUAUACCAAAGUGAACAAAAAGACAUUCGCAAGAUCCUCCAACUUUCUACAUUGGUUAAAUUUUUAAUCGAUGUAAUAGUUUACAAACGAUAUAAAAAAACUAUAAUUAUUCACAAAAAUUGUGGCCGCAUUUUUUAUUACCUCGAAUAUUAAAUAAAUAAUCUAAAAAUUCCCACAUAAAAUGUCCUUUUCGUAGCUCUGUGUGUAUUAAGAUUGUUCUUUGAAGUAUUUAUAGGCUAUCUAACCAAUCAGUUCAACCCCACAUGUCGAUCGCGUACGCGACUCAUCUCCAUGUGUUGAUCCUAAAAAUAAAAGUCAUUGGACAACUAACUGCUGAAAAUACAUAACCACCACUAUCAAACACAGUCACUAUGGAUGCUACAAAUGAAAGAUGUCGCCAUUACGCUCAACUGAUGAUUUCUUUGAUAAGAAUCCGAACUAAAGCGAAGGCGAUAAUGAUGUAAAUUUGCCUAGCACGCUAACUUCUCUAUAAAUACCACAUAUUAAGAACCUUCAAUAUGUACACAUUAAUCCACAUGCUAUAGAUUGUUACUCGAACUACCCAACAUUGACGUUAAAAUCUCUAUAGGUACACCCCUUCCAACACGUGUACAAGAGUUUCAUUGUAACAGAUUUUCAAAACAAAAUUAUAAUGUAAAAUUUUGUAAUUUUAUUGUUUUUAAAGAAAUUAGUUUAUUAACAUUUUAUGAAAUAAGAAAAUAUAAAUAUGUAUUGAUAUAUAUAUAUAUAUAUAUAUAUAUAUAUAUAUAUAUAUAUAUAUAUAUAUAUAUAUAUAUAAUAAUUCAUCUCCUAAUUUCUAUCUUUAAUUUAUUGAUUAUUUUAACAAUAUAUUUAAGAAGAUUAAUUUUAAAUUUAACAAUUAAUGUAUACUUAUAUAAAUAUAUAAGUAAACAUAUCUCUCUUUGUUGCACUAUCCAAUUAACAACACUAUAAAACAUCUACAUUCAUAAAUUCGAUCAAAGAAAACGUGAGCCCAAGGUGUUAGAAAAAAAUAUUACAUGAAAAACAUAUCAGAUUUGCAAUGUACAUAUAAUAAAACAAAUGAGAAUUCUAGAGAAGUAUCAAAAACAAAUUAAUUUAUUGUUUAGAACAUACACUGUAGAUACAAAAUGAAUAAAACAAUGACAAAAAAAAACACAAUUAAUUAUUAAAAUAUAAAAUAAUGGGUAAUUAAAGAGAGUGAAUCAAAGAAAUGAAAUGUGUACUGUGUAGUAGUCGAUCCUUAGAAAUGGACAGAACAUUUGGUGGUCUCAAAGAGAGUAAAGGUGCCACUUUUACUGAAGGGAACCUUGAGGUGACAUUUGACCUUGGGCUUCAAGUUACCGGAUAUGGAGUCCCCGAGCCUGAACCGAAUCCUGAAGUUGAGCUUCACGUAGAUGUCAUAAACCCCAUCACUCUUGUCUUGGUUCAACUUAGAGACUUGUUCGCUGUUGAGCAUCAACACCUUCUUCCCCGAGAAAACGGCGCUCAUGGGGCUGGUGCUCUUCUUGUACUGGCGGAAGGAGUUCAUGUGAGUUAUGACAUCGUAAUUGGCGAACCUGGCAUCCUCGUAGAAUGCUAAUGCCUCAACUUUGUCGUAGUAUAUGCUGAGCUUCUUGUUGGGGUUGCGUGCAGUGAAGUUGAGCACCAUGUUGUAGUGGAGAGUGAGAUUGUUGGUGUAGUAAUCAAAUUGGGUUAGGUCCGCUUCCGUGACCUGGAACUUGAAGGAGCGGGGUUGAACCACCAGCCAGAAUAUGAGGAAUACGAGGCCAACGAGGACGAUGAGUGCAACCAGAAUCUUCCACAAGAUUCCAAAGAGGCAGCAACAGCAGCUUCUUCCGUGGUGAUGGCGAUUGCGUGGUUGUUCCGCCGGGGGAAUGGCGGGACCGUAAUAGGUACCGUUCAAGUGUGGCUGCUUAUCGGCCAUGCUUUCAGAUGAUUGAAUUGAAUUGAAUUAACUAACAAGACCAAGAAAUGAUCAAGGGAAUUGGUUGUGAAUGUGAUCAAUUGUACUAAUAAGGGACUUGAUGGUGGAGAGGAAAAUGUGAAUUGUGGGAGAAGGGAGUGAAUGAACUAAAACGAAGUAUGUAAAAAGAGAUUAUGAAGGGAAGAAUGAAGAGAAUUAGUUGUGAAUUGUAAUAAUAGGGGACUUGAUUGAUAUUUGAUAGAGAGAAGGGAGUGGUGCGUUUAUAUAGAAAGGAAAGGCAUGGGAGAUUCAUUGGAUGGGUACAAGUUGUGAACUUGUUAGCACAUGUCUGUAUUAUUUACUUUUUUUAUUCAUGAAGUUCAUGGAAUCCAUCUACAGCGGACGAUUGUAUUGACCAGUGUAAAUUAAGAUUGAUGUAGAUUGACCAAGCAACAACCACGAAGGACCAUUUGUGUGACGAUACUUAUCGACAACUACAAUACUUGAACUUUUCAUUAUGUGAGUGAAACCAAUUUGUGCAACUUGAAAUCAAAAUACAGUAAUUUAGAUCUCAAUAACAGUAUUAAAAAGAGAGCCAAGACCGUUUCUUCAUCUCACUAUUUUCCAAUUCAGGACCUGAGAUUAUAUCUAUCUUUGUUCCUCUUGAGUGUGGUAUAUAUCAUUGUGGUUACCAUUCUCCUUCCCAUAACUAAUCGAUCCUAUGCUACUGUUUUAUAAAUUUCAAUUUCACGGUGCCACACUGUAGUUUCAAACUUUCAAUGAUUUACAUCAAAUAAAUUGUACUAAAUCCAACCCCAUACCAGUUUUAUAGAUUUUGCAGCUUCUGAUAUUGUCGUUUGUGCACCACAAAAUUCCAAUAUCCGUGUCCUAAUAACGUGUACUAAGAAGCACAUACAUCUUCCAGUAAGUUAUUACAUGUAUUUUAAUUAAAACAAUAAAAUAAUAAGAAUGAAAAAUUGUUUUCAUAUAACUAAUUUAUACCCAAAAUUGUUUUUACUUAUUAUAAUAGGGCCUUCUGAGCAUAUUAAUUUGGACCAUGAUACAUUGCUAUGAACUUAGACAUGGUAUUGUUUCAGAUUUUGGCAUUCAGCCUAGGGGCCGUAAAAAUUUUUUAGAUAAUGUUUGGAUGAUUUAAAAAUGAUUUUUCGUUUUAGUUUUAGCAAUUUUUCUAAUUAAUACUUUUACUAAUAUUCUGAUUUUACAAUUAAGUACAGUGCAAGUAUAUAAUUAUUCAACAGGUACAAAAAUAGAGAUAUUAAAGUUGUUAUUUGUGUGAGUAUAAUAACAAAUACAAAACAGGUACAAAAAUAGAGAUAUUAAAGUGGUUAUUUGUGUGAGUAUAAGAACAAAUACAAGUAUUUUUUUCAAACAUAAUUAUUAGGACAUAUAUUAUCAAGGACAGAUACAGAAAUAUAUCAAAGGGAGGACCAAGAUUUUUUACACAAUUAUUUAAAAUUUUAAUUUUUAGCAAAUAAUUAUUUAAUAAAUAAUGAGUUUCACAAAAAUAUUUAUUAUUAAAUUAUGUGUAAAACUAGAGAUAAGAUGCACUAAAAAAUUUAACAGAUAUCAAUUCAACACUCUAUUCUUCUUAUAUAAAUGAUAUAUUAUAAUAUUUUAACCAAACUUUAAACAUUACCUUCCAUUAAAUAGGGCUCAUGUUUUUUCAGUAUCUUGUUUGGAGCAAUUACACCUAGGCUAAACAGCAAACACAGAACUUUGAUGUGGUCUUUGUGGACUGAAAAAUCAUAUAUUAAAUAUGUAAUACAAUAGGGCUAGCUAGUUUUAAGAGAAAAAUACAAGGUAUUUAAUAAUUUAUUUUUCUAGUGCUCCUCAAAUAUAAAUAUGAACUUGUAACGUGAUGGCUUCAGUACACAUUUUACAUGAAUUAAUAUCGACGAGUAGACAAGUGUAUACAUAAAAGGCAACAUUGUAUUGUAGCUGAGCAAGCAAGGUACACUCUCAGAAACCUGGCCUGAACCGGCUUCACGAAUCACGACCCUCCUGCUUCGACUUAUCUACAAUUAAAAAUGCAUAUCUUCCGCAAAAAUGUUCCUUCGUGGUCAAUGUACAUCAAUCUUUGCACGGGCCAAUACAAUCCACUGUUGAGGGAUUCCUUUCGUGAGUAAAAGAAAUACAUAACACGAACACGUGUGCUCGAUCGAUCACAACCGCUUUGUAUUGUACGACCCAUAGAAUCUUCUUCAAUGCCAUUCCUUUCUAUAUAUAUGCACCACCCUCUUCUCCCAUAUCUCACAAUUCACCUACUAAUUCUAUCAACUCCCCCAUUACAAUUCCCAGCUAAAUUAUUUUCAUUUUUCCUUCAUAAGUUCUUGGUCACAUCAAAGUAUUUAUCUCCUGUUCAUCACUCGUCUGCAAGCAUGGCUCAUAAGCAAGACCAUGGAACAAGCUGCUGCUGCUGCCUCUUCGGAAUCUUGUGGAAGAUUCUCGUUGCACUCAUCGUCCCCGUUGGCCUCGCAAUCCUCAUAUUCUGGCUGGUGGUUCAACCCCGUUCCUUCAAGUUCCACGUCACGGAAGCCGACCUAACACAAUUUGAUUUCUAUACCAACAACAACACUCUCCACUACAACAUGGUCCUCAACUUCACUGCACGUACGCAACCUAAACAAAAAACUCAGCAUAUACUACGACAAAGUAGAGGCAUCAGCAUUCUACGAGGAUGCCAGGUUCGCCAAUUACGAUAUGGUCACUCACAUGAACUCCUUCCGCCAGUACAAGAAGAUCACCAGCCCCAUGAGCGCCGUUUUCUCGGGACAGAAAUUGUUGAUGCUCAACAAUGAACAAGCCUCUAAGUUGAACCAAGACAAGAGUGAUGGGGUUUAUGACAUCUAUGUGAAGCUCAACUUCAGGAUUCGGUUCAGGCUCGGGGACUCCAUAUCCCGUCACUUGAAGCCCAAGGUCAAAUGUCACCUCAAGGUUCCUUCAAGUAAAAGUGGCACCUUUACUCUGUUUCAGACCACCAAAUGUUCUGUCCAUUUCUAAGGAUCGACUGCUAGACAUUUCAUUUCUUGGAUACAUUCUCUUUAAUUACUAAUUAUUUUAUAUUUUAAUAAUUAAUUGUGUGUUUUUUUGUCAUUGUUUUAUUCAUUCUUUCUCUAUAAUGUAUAUGUUUUCAAGCAAUAAAUUUGAUUUUGGUACGUACUCCUCUAGAAUUUCCCUUAAUUUGGUUUUAAGUUUAGGUAUACGUCAUUGUUUUAUUCAUUCGUUCUCUAUAAUGUAUAUGUUUUUCUUGUAAUAUUUAUUUUAUAUCACUUUGGGCUCGAAAUUUCUUACAACAUCUGAAUGUAGAUAUUUUCUACUCGUUUAUUGGGUAGUGCAGCGAAGAGAGACAAAGACAUAUGGGGCUUAGGUAUACGUUAGACCCACUUUGAUAAACGAGUAUAAAUUACACAAAAAUAAUCGAUUCGUGAAUCCAUAUUUAGGUUAGUGACAUUUUUUUAAAGAAAAAAAAUUCUACUUUAUUGUUUUAAUAAAUUAUGAUGGUGACUUCUAACAUGGUUUGUUUUCCCUAAAGAGUCAAGAACAUUUAUAUUCAAAAUAAAAAUCUGAGAAGAGCGAAGUAUAUAUAAUUUUGCUACGUUGAUUUUGGAUAGAUGAAAAAAGCAUAAUAAAAAUAUCGUUAAUUUACUAAGAGAAUAUUAAAACGUAAAAAAGUUACAUGUAAAAAUCAUAUUAACACAUAGUUUAAUGGUGAUACAAUGAUAAGAUAAAAUCAUUUGACACCUUCAUCUAAUAAUAAAUUAAUAUUAAUGUGAUUUUAAACAUAAUUAUUAUCAAAACUAAUAAAUUUACCAAACAUAUAUAGAGAUUGUGAUGGGAUGACAUUGUGACAUUAAUUGAUACUAUUGGUCUAUAAUAUUUUUUUUCUCAAUAACAUAUAUGUAUUAGAAAAUAUCAGUUUGGUUUGGAUCAAUUCAAUUUGGUAGACAUCAACCAAAAAUAACCCAAAUUGAUGAAUUAUGCAAAAAUAAUGGUCUAAAAAGCAGUUUUCACUGGUUUCAUGUUUUUUUAAUCAGUUUGUUGUCUUUUAAAAGAUUGGAUUGGAUCUAUACAGCCCUAAAUUCCAGUUAUCCACAAUUAGGUGGAAAUGAUCGAUCAUUCACAAUCCCACAACAAUAGCAGCAAGGCGGGGAACACCAAAUUGAUAUGAAACAAUGGUCAGGGCAGAAUUAAGCCUGACCCGACACAAGCUCCAGAGGCCUAGUUGGUGUUCUUGUAAUUCAUUUGAUUUCAAGUUCAAGGUGACUUUUUUCUUACCAGAACAAAAAUUGGCACGCCUUAAUUGAAUUGUCCUGCGAGGGUUAUUCAAGCGGUUAAGAGUUGGGCCGUGUAGAAAGAAUACAGAGGUCUAAUUUAAGGCACACCAAAUGACCAAAACCUUAAACAAUAACAAUUUACAUACAUACAUAUGUUUCGUGGCAACAAUUUCAAUUAGUAGGGUAAUCAAAUUGUGUAUUUGGCUAUUCGCAAAAGUGCUUAUCCGUGAUAUACACUACUGCAUAAACAGGAGUAACAAAAAUAUUAUUGCAAGAAAUCAUAUACAUUACAAACAUAUAGGUAAAAGAAUGAAUAAAAUAAUCACAAAAGUUACAUAACUAAUUAUAAAAAUUUAAAAUAAAGAUUAAAGAAAGAAAAGUCCAGAUUAAAACCAAUCUAAUAAAAAGUGUAGUCCCUAGAAAUCGACAUCACAUUUGGUGGUCUGAAACAGAGUAAAGGUGCCAUUUUUACUGAAAGGAACCUUGAGGUGACAUUUGACCUUGGGCUUGUAGUCAUUGGAUAUAAAGUCCCCGAGCCUGAACCUCAUCCUGAAGUAGAGCUUCACAUAGAUGUCAUAAACACCAGUAUUCCUGUCUUGGUUGAACUCUGAGACUUGAUCAUUGUUCAGCAUCAGCAAUUGUUGCCCUGUGAAAACGGCGCUCAUGGGGCUGGAGCUCUUCUUGUACUGGCGGAAGGAGUUCAUGUGUGUUAUGACAUCGUAACUUGCGAACCUGACAUCCUCGUAGAAUGCUAAUGCCUCAACUUUGUCGUAGUAUAUGUUGAGCUUCUUGUUGGGGUUGCGUGCAGUGAAGUUGAGGACCAUGUUGUAGUGAAGGGUGUUGUUGUUGGUAUAGUAAUCAAAUUGUGUUAGGUCGGCUUCCGUGACGUGGAACUUGAAGGAACGGGGUUGAACCACCAGCCAGAAGAUGAGGACCGCGAGGCCAACGAGGACAAUGAGUGCAACCAGAAUCUUCC
This 14014-nucleotide long non-coding RNA is filed under the name Glycine max (soybean). RNAcentral describes it as "long non-coding RNA (GMAX_LNC000687)". Lineage: Eukaryota; Viridiplantae; Streptophyta; Magnoliopsida; Fabales; Fabaceae. The record is from RNAcentral.